Molecule: ribosomal RNA, 32 nt
Filed under: Dunaliella quartolecta
Lineage: Eukaryota; Viridiplantae; Chlorophyta; Chlorophyceae; Chlamydomonadales; Dunaliellaceae
Description: partial 28S ribosomal RNA
Source: RNAcentral
UCGACCUGAGCUCAAGCAAGACCACCCGCUGA